Molecule: ribosomal RNA, 694 nt
Filed under: uncultured archaeon
Lineage: Archaea
Description: bacterial SSU rRNA
Rfam family: Archaeal small subunit ribosomal RNA
Source: RNAcentral
UAGGUAAGGACUCCUGGAAUGGAUCCUCGCCUAAAAGACGUUGAGUCCAUGCUAUUCAGCGCCGCCCAAGGACGAGGCCGCGGCCGAUCAGGUAGUUGGCGAGGCAACGGCUCACCAAGCCUAUAACCGGUACGGGCCGUGAGAGCGGGAGCCCGGAGAUGGGCACUGAGACAAGGGCCCAGGCCCUACGGGGCGCAGCAGUUGCGAAAACUCCGCAAUGCGCGAAAGCGUGACGGGGCUACCCCGAGUGCCGCCCGUUGAGGGCGGCUUUUCCGCGGUGUAAGGAGCCGUGGGAAUAAGGAGAGGGCAAGCCUGGUGUCAGCCGCCGCGGUAAUACCAGCUCUCCGAGUGGUGGGGACGAUUAUUGGGCUUAAAGCGUUCGUAGCCGGCUUAACAAGUCUUCCGUUAAAUCCAACGAUCUAAUCGUUGGGGUGCGGGAGAUACUGUUGAGCUAGGAGGCGGGAGAAGCCGACGGUAUUCUCGGGGUAGGGGUGAAAUCCUGUAAUCCCGGGAGGACCACCAGUGGCGAAGGCGGUCGGCUAGAACGCGCUCGACGGUGAGGGACGAAAGCUGGGGGAGCGAACCGGAUUAGAAACCCGGAUAGUCCCAGCUGUAAACGAUGCGGGCUAGGUGUUGGGGUGGCCACGAGCCACCUCAGUGCCGCAUGGAAGCAAUUAAGCCCGCCGCCUGGGGA